GAUGAAGAACGUAGUGAAAUGCGAUAAGUAAUGCGAAUUGCAGAAUCCGUGAGUCAUCGAAUCUUUGAACGCACAUUGCGCCCCCUGGUAUUCCGGGGGGCAUGCCUGUCCGAGCGUCAUUGCUGCCCUCAAGCACGGCUUGUGUGUUGGGCCCCGUCCUCCGAUCCCGGGGGACGGGCCCGAAAGGCAGCGGCGGCACCGCGUCCGGUCCUCGAGCGUAUGGGGCUUUGUCACCCGCUCUGUAGGCCCGGCCGGCGCUUGCCGAUCAACCCAAAUUUUUAUCCAGGUUGACCUCGGAUCAGGUAGGGAUACCCGCUGAACUUAAGCAUAUCAAUAAGCGGAGGA
RNAcentral lists this unclassified non-coding RNA (345 nucleotides) under soil metagenome. Its description in RNAcentral is "partial contains 5.8S ribosomal RNA, internal transcribed spacer 2, and large subunit ribosomal RNA". The stretch from base 1 to 119 matches the Rfam family "5.8S ribosomal RNA", at positions 35 to 154 of the family's 154-position model. The record is from RNAcentral.